Long non-coding RNA from Sapajus apella (tufted capuchin), 104 nucleotides. RefSeq lists it as uncharacterized. NCBI's taxonomy places the organism in Eukaryota, Metazoa, Chordata, Mammalia, Primates, Cebidae. The transcript has 3 exons. The record is from RefSeq and is a predicted model, not a curated record.
GGUUUUUUUGUGUCCCCACUCAAAUCUCAUCUUGAGUUGUAACUCCCACAAUUCCAAUGUGUCAUGGAAGGAACCUGGUGGGGGGUGACUGAAGUUUGAGGGUG